CUGGCCUCUUCUUUCUCCUAG
RNAcentral lists this microRNA (21 nucleotides) under Homo sapiens (human). RNAcentral's name for it is "hsa-miR-6878-3p". Lineage: Eukaryota; Metazoa; Chordata; Mammalia; Primates; Hominidae. The record is from miRBase by way of RNAcentral.